AUGAAACACUCCUACGGGAGGCAGCAGUGGGGAAUUUUGGACAAUGGGCGCAAGCCUGAUCCAGCCAUGCCGCGUGUCUGAAGAAGGCCUUCGGGUUGUAAAGGACUUUUGUCAGGGAAGAAAAGGACAGGGUUAAUACCCCUGUCUGAUGACGGUACCUGAAGAAUAAGCACCGGCUAACUACGUGCCAGCAGCCGCGGUAAUACGUAGGGUGCGAGCGUUAAUCGGAAUUACUGGGCGUAAAGCGAGCGCAGACGGUUACUUAAGCAGGAUGUGAAAUCCCCGGGCUCAACCUGGGAACUGCGUUCUGAACUGGGUGACUAGAGUGUGUCAGAGGGAGGUAGAAUUCCACGUGUAGCAGUGAAAUGCGUAGAGAUGUGGAGGAAUACCGAUGGCGAAGGCAGCCUCCUGGGAUAACACUGACGUUCAUGCUCGAAAGCGUGGGUAGCAAACAGGAUUAGAAACCCUAGUAGUCCGAAGUUC
RNAcentral lists this ribosomal RNA (483 nucleotides) under uncultured bacterium. Its description in RNAcentral is "bacterial SSU rRNA". It matches the Rfam family "Bacterial small subunit ribosomal RNA", at positions 328 to 802 of the family's 1533-position model. The record is from RNAcentral.